CCUACGGGAGACAGCAGUGAGGAAUAUUGGUCAAUGGCCGAGAGGCUGAACCAGCCAAGUCGCGUGAGGGAAGAAUGUCCUAUGGAUUGUAAACCUCUUUUGUCAGGGAGCAAAGUCACCCACGUGUGGGUGUUGGAGAGUACCUGAAGAAAAAGCAUCGGCUAACUCCGUGCCAGCAGCCGCGGUAAUACGGAGGAUGCGAGCGUUAUCCGGAUUUAUUGGGUUUAAAGGGUGCGCAGGCGGAUUUUUAAGUCAGCGGUCAAAUCGUGGGGCUCAACCCCAUCCAGCCGUUGAAACUGGGGAUCUAGAGUGUGCGAGAGGUAUGCGGAAUGCGUGGUGUAGCGGUGAAAUGCAUAGAUAUCACGCAGAACCCCGAUUGCGAAGGCAGCUUACUAAGCCAUAACUGACACUGAAGCACGAAAGCGUGGGGAUCAAACAGGAUUAGAUACCCCUGUAGUC
This 459-nucleotide ribosomal RNA is filed under the name uncultured bacterium. RNAcentral describes it as "partial 16S ribosomal RNA". It matches the Rfam family "Bacterial small subunit ribosomal RNA", at positions 338 to 795 of the family's 1533-position model. The record is from RNAcentral.